GAGAAUCUGCUCGGUGUUGACGAAGAGCGCCCAGCAUGGGAAGCAGCACAGCAGCAGGAUGAGGAUCCCUUGCUGCAGGAUGGUGCCCACCUGCUUCAGGUUCUUGCCACCGUACGUCUGAGAUGGGAGAGAGGACCGAGAUCACAGGAGACACACCAUCAAUCCAACCCCGACAGCCACAAGAAAGGGGGAGCUGCUACUGACCUGGGACAUCAGCGUGUCGCAUGCUGAGGCUAAACCAGAGCCGAUGGAGAUGCCCGUCACGUUGAUAACCUGGAGGAGAGACAAAGGACGUGGGUUGCAAGGGAGGGUGACAGGGGACCUGGCGCAAAGCACCGUGUUCCUCCCAUCUGGGUGGGGAGACAGUUCUGCUGUGAGUUUUUGGGAGGUUUCCAGCCCUUCUCUAUUUCUCAGAAUAACAUGUUCUUGUUACCUAAACAGCCUCUUCUCUGGUGUGGAAAAGAAUCCUCUGGCAAGGGCUGAAUAUCUAAAGGACCACAAACAGUGCUGAUCCUGGCCGCACGCUAGGUCUGGUGGGUUCUAAGAGCUUGUCCCAGGCUCCAGGUCCCUGGCCAGGUCUGGCCUUGCACUGGCACAGCCACCGACUGCUCAGUUCCCAUCUCCUGCCUGUGCUCAGGGCAAAAGAGCGAGCAGUUUGCUGGAUGAGAUGUUCGCCUCACAUCAGGCUCUGCUUACACACAGGGUCCUCACAUAUGUAUUCCUCCAGGUUUUCUUCUUUUUUUUGGUGAUGUGUAACUUACAUGUUCUAGAUCAGAAGGGAAUCAGAGCAAUACGUACGGACACGGCCAGCGUCACAGCAUCCAGCUCAGCUUUCCCCAGGUGGCCACAGAAGAUGGAGCUGACCACGCUGAUCAGGAACCCCAGCAGCUGGGCGACAAACUAGGAUGAGAGGAGGAGAAGACGGUGAGAUGAGGACUGGUUAGGACUGGAGGACCGCUCCUCCCCCUGACCUUGGACUAUGAACAGUCGGGGUUCCUGGUGUCACCUGUUGUCUUGGGAACCUAUCCCUGCUCCCCAUGGCUGCUGCACCAGAUCUUGCGCAGACAUCUGGUGAUUUUGUCUUUCAAAGCAAGCCUCUACCUGCCCUGUGGUGUUUUGGUGCUACACAGCCAAUCUGCCACAUGACCUUGUUUAUUUGUGGCUUAACAGCUUCACUAGAAAUCCUCUUUUCCAGGAUGAAAGAUGCAUAGAGAGGGAAAAUCAAAAAUCCUUAUGUUUUUCUGCACUUCUGUGCAUCUAGGAAAACUCCCCUCCUAAACCACAACGUCGUCUCCUCCUAGAGAGAUGCCAAGUCUAGUCUGCUUGUUCCUUAGCUUAGCGAUGCUGUAGCAGAGAUUACACUCCAAACCUCAUUUCCCCUUGGCAAGGGGACAGCUCCUCUACAGGCAUCUGAGGCAUGGAGUCAUGGCACAGCUAGAAGCAGAUGGUAGGAGUUAGAGACAUUAAUACCCACUGAAGGGUGGGCAUGGCUGGGGACCAUGCCCAGGGUCUGCUCACACUCCUUUCCACCCCGCAGCUGGCAAGCCAAGAGCACAGCGCUGCUGGAGAACCAGCUCCUGCGGGGUCAGAGGAAGAACAGAAUAAAAACCUUCUCCUCUCCAGACCUCCCACCGCUGCCUGCAGAUGCAGUUCAUCUCCUCCUGCCAGGUCUGGGCAUGCUCAACCUGCUGCUGGGAGUAAUUCCCACUGGAAUGGUCUGUACCUCCACAAUUGUUCAGUGCAGGGUUUGCCAUUAAAUGAGCGUUAGCUAAUGACAGCUGUAGGUUUUGUCAUGAGGUUGUCUGUGCACAUGGAGAACCAGGCUGUGCUGCAGAUGGAAAGGUUGAGGGCACUGAGCUAGAACUGAUGUCUUCAGCUACAGAAACCGAAACCCAUCUAUACUUCCUCUGCUGCCCAUUCACAGCAGGUUGGUGCUUUGAUGUCAGGGAGGGCAUCUCUGAGUUCAUCAGUUGUUACUUAUUUACCAGAUAGAUUAGAAAAUGCAAAGCACAAAGCUUCAUGUGUAAUGGAUUUAGACCAGGGCUGUGGUGCACACUCCCCUCUGCAAAAUGUGACUCCCACGGGAUGCGUGUCCUGGCAGACAAACAGCAGCCCGGGGAGGAUUUUGAGACAGCGGGCUGUAGGUACCUUUGCAUCCAGAGUCUGCUGGAAGGCCUGCCCAAGGAGUUGGUGUCCAGCUAACUGACCUGCUUGACACCCAAGGGAGCCAUGUAGGAGAAGAGCACUUGGACCGAGCUGGACAGCAACAGGAAUUGCUGUGGUAAGGAAUAAGCUCUUGGAUGACAAUUAAGGAACAAAUAGUGGAGGUUAAAGUCUGGCUGUGCCUCCGGCAGGCACGGCCGGCGGGAGGGAGCAGAGCCAUGUGCGAGGGAGCUGGAAUCCCGUGCGGAAGGGCGAUCCGGGGCCCGAUGGCUCCUCCCAGCCCGGGAUACGCUGCCAGGCUCCCGGUGCCCGAGCCCCGGGACGCUCCCCGGCUCUCACCUCCGCUGCGCCGCCGACGUUCCCCCCCGGGACUGCCGCCGCUCCGGAGGGGAGUGGGGUCCUGUCCCCAUCCCCUGUGCCCCCCCGCCCGCUCCCGGCUCUCACCACGGGCCCCGCCAGCCGGGCCAGCUCGCAGCUCUCCCGCCGUGCGCCCGCGGGCAGGAGGCGCCGGGCGCCCCGCAGGCACCGCGCUGCUGCUCCCGCCGCCGCCGCCAUGGGCCG
Columba livia (rock pigeon) is the source of this 2724-nucleotide long non-coding RNA. RefSeq lists it as uncharacterized. Lineage: Eukaryota; Metazoa; Chordata; Aves; Columbiformes; Columbidae. The transcript has 3 exons. The record is from RefSeq and is a predicted model, not a curated record.